RNAcentral lists this ribosomal RNA (211 nucleotides) under uncultured rumen archaeon. RNAcentral describes it as "partial 16S ribosomal RNA". It matches the Rfam family "Archaeal small subunit ribosomal RNA", at positions 1 to 212 of the family's 1478-position model. The record is from RNAcentral.
UUCCGUUUGAUCCUGGCGGAGGCUACUGCUAUUGGGGUUCGAUUAAGCCAUGCAAGUUGAACGAUUCUUCGGAAUCGUGGCGAACGGCUCAGUAACACGUGGAUAACCUACCCUUAGGACCGGUAUAACCCUGGGAAACUGGGGACAAUCCCGGAUAGGUGAUUUUUUCUGUAAUGAUUUUUCAUUUAAAUGCUCUGGCGCCUGAGGAUGA